CAAUUAUUCUCCCAAUAACUGUUCCUGUUGUUUCUCUGUUUUUCUUGCCAUCUGUGAUUUUCCCAGUUAGCUCUCCUUUUUAGCUUCUCCCAGGUGUUAUUAUUAUUAUUCCAAUUAUUAUUGAUUACCUUAGGCUCCUCCCAUCUAAUUUCCAAUUAUCUCCCAUUACAUUACUUCCUUUAGAACUGUUCCUAUUCCUAUGGUCCCUCUGUGGAUCUCUCCAUCUUUUGUCAAAGUCCUGUUUUGGUCUCCAGUUCUCAUUACCCCUCUUGUUCUGAGGUACAUCCCACCUUUGGCUUCUCCAUUUGCCAUCUAAAUCUCUACCAGAGUCAACCUUGAAUGUUCUUAUGGCUGAAACAGAUAAGGCCUGUUCUGAGGAAGGAUGCUUAAGCCACCAAUUAUCAGCUCUAGUUAGUAGCAUUUCUAAGUCUGCUGGUGUUGGAUCAAAAAGCCUGACAAAUUCUUGACACUCCCAGGGAAGGGCUUCCAUUACUUUAGUAAUGUGUUCUGGUGAGCCCAACACCAGGGGCUGUUGAGGUUGGCG
Molecule: non-coding RNA, 544 nt
Organism: Pelobates cultripes (western spadefoot toad)
Lineage: Eukaryota; Metazoa; Chordata; Amphibia; Anura; Pelobatidae
Source: the annotation of a GenBank genome assembly